UACGUAGGGGGCGAGCGUUGUCCGGAUUCAUUGGGCGUAAAGAGCUCGUAGGCGGCUUGGUAAGUCGGGUGUGAAACCUCCAGGCUCAACCUGGAGACGCCACUCGAUACUGCCAUGGCUAGAGUCCGGUAGGGGCCCACGGAAUUCCUGGUGUAGCGGUGAAAUGCGCAGAUAUCAGGAGGAACACCUGUGGCGAAAGCGGCUCACUGGACCAUAACUGACGCUGAUGCACGAAAGCUAGGGGAGCAAACAGG
Molecule: ribosomal RNA, 254 nt
Filed under: uncultured bacterium
Lineage: Bacteria
Description: partial 16S ribosomal RNA
Rfam family: Bacterial small subunit ribosomal RNA
Source: RNAcentral